Molecule: non-coding RNA, 31 nt
Filed under: Mus musculus (house mouse)
Lineage: Eukaryota; Metazoa; Chordata; Mammalia; Rodentia; Muridae
Source: RNAcentral
UCUGGUAGAUAUGUAGAAAAUUAAAAUGAUA